UCGUGCACCAUCGUGCUCGCUCAGCCACUUUCUUUUUUAGAGGGUGGUGCAUUCAGUGGAUGUAGAUGCUGCCGUUGUAUUCUAUUUGGUGGAUCGAGAAUUUCGGUUCUCUCUACUGGUGGAUUAUAUGACGGAGGACUGACGCGAUACGACCCGUCUUGAAACACGGACCAAGGAGUUUAACGUACCUGCGAGUCAAAGGGUGGAGAAACCCCACGGCGUAGUGAAAGCGACAUAGAACUGUAACAGUUUGGUUGCGGCGUAGAAUCGUUGAUUCUAUGCUCGACAGAGAGCAGGUCCGUUGAUACCCGAAAGAUGGUGAUCUAUGCCGGGGCAGGGCGAAGCCGGAGGAAACUCCGGUGGAGGCUCGUAGCGGUGUUGACGUGCAAAUCGCUCGUCGGACCUUGGUAUAGGGGCGUAAGACUCAUCGAACCAUCUAGUAGCUGGUUCCCCUCGAAGUUUCUCUCAGGAUAGCAGGCCGAGGUUAAUGUUGCAAUGCGAGGUAAAGCUAAUGAUUAGCGUAUUUGGGAUGGAUAUAUUUCUCUAGCGAUUCUCAAACUUUAAAUACGCAUGAGCUCUGCUGCGUGGAUUGAGCAAGAGCAUGAUGAACCUNNNNNNUGUGGGCUCGUUUUGGUAAGCAGAACUGGCGAUACGGGAUGAACCGUAAGUGUGGUUAAGGCGCCAAAUUAUUCGCUCAAAGAACCCAAAAAAGGUGUCGUUUCAUUUAGACAGCAGGACGGUGGCCAUGGAAGUUGGAAUCCGCUAAGGAGUGUGUAAAAACUCACCUGCCGAAUGAAGUAGCCCUGAAAAUGGAUGGCGCUUAAGCGAAUAGCCGACACCACACCGUUUGAAAUAUAUAACUGCAAAACGAAGCUUUAAUUGUUGUGUGAACAACGGGUAAACAGCGUUGAGUAUAAAAGAACUUCAAAUGAGUAGAGGGGCGUAGCGGUUGCUGAGAAGCUAUUGUUUAAACAUGUGUGGAGCGGCCGCUAGUGCAGAUCUUGGUGAUAGUAGCAAAUAUUCAAAAGAGAUCCUUGAAGGGCGAUGCGGGGAAGGGUUCCAUGUCAACAUUGAUUGGGCAUGGGUGAGUCGUUCCUAAGCCACGCGUUAAUUGCAGCGCAUCGGCGAAAGGGAGACAGGUUGAAAUUUCCUGUACACGGAUGUGGAGGCGGCGACGCAUUACUUGGGGUGGUGACGUCGGCAAUGGCACUGGGCAGAGAUUUCUUUUCUGUUUGACGUACGAGGCGCUCUGUGGAAUCCGAUUAUCGGGAGAAACAGGCGCCUCAGGGCAUAGCGCCG
This 1299-nucleotide ribosomal RNA is filed under the name Augophyllum delicatum. Its description in RNAcentral is "LSU rRNA". It matches the Rfam family "Eukaryotic large subunit ribosomal RNA", at positions 490 to 1768 of the family's 3401-position model. The record is from RNAcentral. Lineage: Eukaryota; Rhodophyta; Florideophyceae; Ceramiales; Delesseriaceae.